GUAUUAGGUUGGUGCAAAAGUAAUUGCAGCUUUUGCCAUUACUUUUAAUGGCAAAAACUGCAAUU
Molecule: microRNA precursor, 65 nt
Filed under: Saimiri boliviensis boliviensis (Bolivian squirrel monkey)
Lineage: Eukaryota; Metazoa; Chordata; Mammalia; Primates; Cebidae
Description: miRNA (ENSSBOG00000002877.1)
Source: RNAcentral